This 94-nucleotide transfer RNA is filed under the name Anaeromicrobium sediminis. RNAcentral describes it as "tRNA-Ser". It matches the Rfam family "tRNA". Rfam says of the family: Transfer RNA (tRNA) molecules are approximately 80 nucleotides in length. Their secondary structure includes four short double-helical elements and three loops (D, anti-codon, and T loops). Lineage: Bacteria; Bacillati; Bacillota; Clostridia; Peptostreptococcales; Thermotaleaceae. The record is from RNAcentral.
GGAGAAGUACUCAAGUAGGCUGAAGAGGACGGUUUGCUAAACCGUUAGAUCGGAUUAUACCGGUGCGCGGGUUCGAAUCCCGCCUUCUCCGCCA